This is a non-coding RNA of Caenorhabditis elegans, 126 nucleotides long. Lineage: Eukaryota; Metazoa; Nematoda; Chromadorea; Rhabditida; Rhabditidae. The record is from Ensembl.
AAACUUUUGUUAAUGUUUCCACCUUUCCUCUUGCCGGUCAUUGCCACCUCAUCGAGGGUCCUUGUGUGUAGUACGGGAGGAAAAGGUGAACGAGAGGAAGGGUGACAUAGUGAUAAUAAAAAUAUA